AGUCUGUCAUUGCAACAACUCUUUGGCAUAAACAAAAGAUGAGGAGUGCAAUGAAGAGGCUGGAAUAAGCUGUACAUGUCAUGGCACAAUAUUGGAGAUGGCAAGGAAAUGGCAUAAAAGAUCUGUCUUGUCAAGAUAAUUGAAAUGGUCAUUAAUAAAAAGCUCUUGUUGCAUCUGAGGUAGAGACUG
This 189-nucleotide long non-coding RNA is filed under the name Monodelphis domestica (gray short-tailed opossum). RNAcentral's name for it is "lncRNA (ENSMODG00000047534.1)". Lineage: Eukaryota; Metazoa; Chordata; Mammalia; Didelphimorphia; Didelphidae. The record is from RNAcentral.